UAGGGAAUCUUCCACAAUGGGCGAAAGCCUGAUGGAGCAACGCCGCGUGUGAUGAAGGGUUUCGGCUCGUAAAACACUGUUGUAAGAGAAGAAUGACAUUGAGAGUAACUGUUCAAUGUGUGACGGUAUCUUACCAGAAAGGAACGGCUAAAUACGUGCCA
This 161-nucleotide ribosomal RNA is filed under the name uncultured bacterium. RNAcentral's name for it is "partial 16S rRNA". It matches the Rfam family "Bacterial small subunit ribosomal RNA", at positions 355 to 510 of the family's 1533-position model. The record is from RNAcentral.